This 497-nucleotide ribosomal RNA is filed under the name uncultured bacterium. Its description in RNAcentral is "partial 16S ribosomal RNA". It matches the Rfam family "Bacterial small subunit ribosomal RNA", at positions 28 to 507 of the family's 1533-position model. The record is from RNAcentral.
GAUGAACGCUGGCGGCGUGCCUAAUACAUGCAAGUCGAGCGAACAGACGAGGAGCUUGCUCCUCUGACGUUAGCGGCGGACGGGUGAGUAACACGUGGAUAACCUACCUAUAAGACUGGGAUAACUUCGGGAAACCGGAUCUAAUACCGGAUAAUAUAUUGAACCGCAUGGUUCAAUAGUGAAAGACGGUUUUUGUGUCACUUAUAGAUGGUUCCGCGCCGCAUUAGCUAGUUGGUACGGUAACGGCUUACCAAGGCGACGAUGCGUAGCCGACCUGAGAGGGUGAUAGGCCACACUGGAACGGAGACGCGGUCCAGACUCCUAAGGGAGGCAGCAGUAGGGAAUCUUACGCAAUGGGCGAAAGCCUGACGGAGCAACGCCGCGUGAGUGAUGAAGGUCUUCGGAGCGUAAAACUCUGUUAUUAGGGAAGAACAAAUGUGUAAGUAACUAUGCACGGCUUGACGGUACCUAAUCAGAAAGCCACGGCUAACUACGUG